Long non-coding RNA from Erpetoichthys calabaricus (reedfish), 622 nucleotides. RefSeq lists it as uncharacterized. The transcript is spliced from 3 exons. The record is from RefSeq and is a predicted model, not a curated record. NCBI's taxonomy places the organism in Eukaryota, Metazoa, Chordata, Cladistia, Polypteriformes, Polypteridae.
GUGCAUUCUUUGAUGCUCUCAUGUUAGGAGCCAUUUUGGGUUAGGGUAAUUUCCCGCUAAAGUAAGCGUCGUUACUUUCUCCAUUGCCAUUUUCUUCAGUUUCUCCGAGAGAAAAGCGCUCCACAAAUUCUUUAUCAGAUUGAAACGACAAGGCAAUAUCUUUAGGCUUAAUAAGACCACUGAUGUUCUUGUACAUGGAAAACAUACAGCUCUUCAAGGACUCCCAUUAUUUUUGAGGGAGAAGACUGACAUUCUGCUGAGGACUUGUCUGGAAACAGACCCAGAGGAAAGUUGCACCCAAGGCCUGAAAGUGGGUAUCAUCAUUAUUGUUGAGGAUGAUGUUGCCAUUGUCCAUUCCAACCCCAAUAUUGUCAGAACAGGCAUUGUACUGGAGGAGCAGAUUGUGCUGGAUGAUCUGCCCAAUGCAUUUGCAAACCUGUUUGGUGUACUCUAUGUACUAAAUAUUGAGUAUCCCAGGGAAUUAAAAUAUACUUUUGAGGUGAUUCAAAAGGUGUUUAUGAACCUAGGAUCCCAGUGCUCUGCAAGAGUGCAGUCUCUGAAAAACAAACGUCUGCAGUAAUCACAGAUACCUUUUGAUGCUUGUCAGUUUUAGUUUAAUUAU